GAUGAACGCUGGCGGCGUGCCUAAUACAUGCAAGUCGAGCGAACAGACGAGGAGCUUGCUCCUCUGACGUUAGCGGCGGACGGGUGAGUAACACGUGGAUAACCUACCUAUAAGACUGGGAUAACUUCGGGAAACCGGAGCUAAUACCGGAUAAUAUAUUGAACCGCAUGGUUCAAUAGUGAAAGACGGUUUUGCUGUCACUUAUAGAUGGAUCCGCGCCGCAUUAGCUAGUUGGUAAGGUAACGGCUUACCAAGGCAACGAUGCGUAGCCGACCUGAGAGGGUGAUCGGCCACACUGGAACUGAGACACGGUCCAGACUCCUACGGGAGGCAGCAGGAGGGAAUCUUCCGCAAUGGGCGAAAGCCUGACGGAGCAACGCCGCGUGAGUGAUGAAGGUCUUCGGAUCGUAAAACUCUGUUAUUAGGGAAGAACAAAUGUGUAAGUAACUAUGCACGUCUGGACGGUACCUAAUCAGAAAGCCACGGCUAACUACGU
RNAcentral lists this ribosomal RNA (496 nucleotides) under uncultured bacterium. Its description in RNAcentral is "partial 16S ribosomal RNA". It matches the Rfam family "Bacterial small subunit ribosomal RNA", at positions 28 to 506 of the family's 1533-position model. The record is from RNAcentral.